GUGCCAGCCGCCGCGGUAAUACGGAGGAUGCAAGCGUUAUCCGGAUUUAUUGGGUUUAAAGGGUGCGUAGGCGGUCUAUUAAGCGUGAGGUGAAAAGCCAGUGCUCAACAUUGGUCGUGCCUCCCGAACUGGUGGACUGGAAUGCGGAUGCCGUGGGAGGAAUGUGUGGUGUAGCGGUGAAAUGCAUAGAGAUCACACAGAACACCGAUUGCGAAGGCAUCUCACGAAUCCGCGAUUGACGCUGAGGCACGAAAGCGUGGGGAUCAAACAGGAUUAGAUACCCUGGUAGUCCACGCAGUAAACGAUGAUGACUAACCGUCGGCGAUACACAGUCGGUGGCCAAGCGAAAGCGAUAAGUCAUCCACCUGGGGAGUACGACCGCAAGGUUGAAACUCAAAGGAAUUGACGGGGGCCCGCACAAGCGGAGGAACAUGUGGUUUAAUUCGAUGAUACGCGAGGAACCUUACCCGGGCUCGAACGGCAGGUGAAGAGAUCCAGAGAUGGUGACGUCCUACGGGACACCUGUCGAGGUGCUGCAUGGUUGUCGUCAGCUCGUGCCGUGAGGUGUCGGCUCAAGUGCCAUAACGAGCGCAACCCUUGCCGUCAGUUGCCAUCAGGUAAAGCUGGGGACUCUGGCGGGACUGCCACCGCAAGGUGUGAGGAGGGGGGGGAUGACGUCAAAUCAGCACGGCCCUUACGUCCGGGGCGACACACGUGUUACAAUGGUGACUACAGAGGGGUACUACCUGGUGACAGGAUGUGAAUCUCGAAAAGUCAUCUCAGUUCGGAUCGGAGUCUGCAACCCGACUCCGUGAAGCUGGAUUCGCUAGUAAUCGCGCAUCAGCCAUGGCGCGGUGAAUACGUUCCCGGGCCUUGUACACACCGCCCGU
RNAcentral lists this ribosomal RNA (890 nucleotides) under uncultured bacterium. Its description in RNAcentral is "bacterial SSU rRNA". It matches the Rfam family "Bacterial small subunit ribosomal RNA", at positions 505 to 1397 of the family's 1533-position model. The record is from RNAcentral.